Molecule: ribosomal RNA, 478 nt
Filed under: uncultured bacterium
Lineage: Bacteria
Description: partial 16S ribosomal RNA
Rfam family: Bacterial small subunit ribosomal RNA
Source: RNAcentral
GACGAACGCUGGCGGCGUGCUUAACACAUGCAAGUCGAACGGUAAGGCCCUUCGGGGUACACGAGUGGCGAACGGGUGAGUAACACGUGGGUGAUCUGCCCUGCACUUCGGGAUAAGCCUGGGAAACUGGGUCUAAUACCGGAUAGGACUCCUGGCUUCAUGGUUGGGGGUGGAAAGCUUUUGCGGUGUGGGAUGGGCCCGCGGCCUAUCAGCUUGUUGGUGGGGUAAUGGCCUACCAAGGCGACGACGGGUAGCCGGCCUGAGAGGGUGACCGGGCGCACUGGGACUGAGAUACGGCCCAGACUCCUACGGGAGGCAGCAGUGGGGAAUAUUGCACAAUGGGCGCAAGCCUGAUGCAGCGACGCCGCGUGAGGGAUGACGGCCUUCGGGUUGUAAACCUCUUUCAGCUAUGACGAAGCGCAAGUGACGGUAGUAGCAGAAGAAGGACCGGCCAACUACGUGCCAGCAGCCGCCGUAA